Non-coding RNA from Paralichthys olivaceus (Japanese flounder), 1060 nucleotides. NCBI's taxonomy places the organism in Eukaryota, Metazoa, Chordata, Actinopteri, Pleuronectiformes, Paralichthyidae. The record is from RefSeq and is a predicted model, not a curated record.
UUGGUAGUGGGGAGCCUGGAGCUUUAGGCUGAGGCUGGAGCGAUGGGGGUAAUGGUGACAGGUCCAGAAGGUUAUCCAAGGUGAGGGGUGUAAGGCUGGGUUCCAGGAUAGCAGAUUUCUAGCCAGGUGAGGGGACAAAGAGCAGGGACCGGAGCCAGAGCAGGAGGAUAGGAUGGAGAACAGUAUGAGAUCAGACAACAAGGGCUAAAUUCUAAAUAGCAAACACAAUGAAUGGCUUGAAGUGAAAACUAACUGGUAGCAGAGACUAUGAUCUGGCAGCGUGGAAGGAGUAUAUGAAGAUGCUUGAUGACAGAUAAGGUGCAGCUGAUGAGGCUCUGCUCUGACUCCAGUGCACCUACAGGCAAUCACGCACACAGGAACAACCACUCAGGGAGUGGUAGCAGGUUAGCAGUACCCAGAACUAGAAGUAGAGGGAUUGGUAGAAGCAGUCCGAAAGUGAGAAGGAGCGAGGGCAGGCAGGUUGAGCUCUGGCAAUCCUGAGGCACAGAUAACAAGACUUACUCUGCCAACCACUACACUCCUUUCCCAGCUGUGCUGCACCGGCUGUCCUUCCAAAUAACAGCCGCCUGUGGGUUUCCAUGAUUUAAUGCAGAGGCUGGAAUCCUCAACUACUACAGAUCCUCCAGGACUGGGCAGUGUGUUCCAGGUACAUCCAGAGCUCCAAAGUGAAUGUGACCGUCAGACAGAUGUUGGGGCCCGGACAGAGCUUCCCAGAAACACCGUCUCAACACCACAGGACUGAUGCCGGCCAGACAGACGAGUACCAUGAAGGAUCAGUGGACGGAGAGCGGCCGAAGWGGAAGAGGAGUAGUAGCUGUGACUCUGUUGAUAUUGGAGAGACAUGAAACAGACCAAGGAUUAAUUKUACAUUACAGGCYUUGGAUAAACUUAAUGCUCAUCGGCUGAGUUUGUCUAAUAAGCAGCUUCCACAAGAUCACAUUUUGACAGAGACAAUGUUACGCAGGAAUAUUUUGUUGUAACUGAGCGAGUGGCUAAGAAGCUGAAACCUCAUUCAGGAGGAACAUUUGUGAAGUGUGUA